CAGUAGUCUGAUUGCAUCGAGUGUAUAUGUUAUUCCCGAUUCUCUGAAUUCAACAUUCUGUUCUGAAUUCAACAUAACCUCAUUCAAUCAUCACCGCUCUUAGCCGGAAAGCACGCUGAACUAAAUCUCAAACGCCUUGAAGAAGUUCAACAAUACAUCACACAAGAUGGCCUCAGUUAUCCUUAUCUUCUCUCUUAUUUUUUGUGGCAGUUUAAUGUUGGUGCCUUCCGAUGUUUCUUGUAAGCCGGCACUUCGUUCGCUUCCAGGCAAUGCUUUGACAACGAACGCUAAACCAAUGGCAAAAAAAAUCGAGGUUUCGCCUUGCACCUGGGAAUACUGUCCAGACAGUCGCAAGAGACAGAGUGUCUCAGACUCUCUUCAGUAACAAGCUUCAAGUCAAGCAAACUGACUUAACCAGAUCCGAUGCAAAAAAUUUAACUUCAUAAAAAGUUACAUCGAAAAGAUGGCUCUUUGGAUUGUGCUUAUUUAAAAGUAAAUUUUAAACAACAAGAUAGAAUUUGCAGGAAAUGUAAAUUAUGAUAUAAAAUCAGUAUGAUAAAUAAAUUUGAUGGCAACAGACUA
Long non-coding RNA from Actinia tenebrosa (Australian red waratah sea anemone), 582 nucleotides. RefSeq lists it as uncharacterized. NCBI's taxonomy places the organism in Eukaryota, Metazoa, Cnidaria, Anthozoa, Actiniaria, Actiniidae. The record is from RefSeq and is a predicted model, not a curated record.